This 466-nucleotide unclassified non-coding RNA is filed under the name Hevea brasiliensis (rubber tree). The record is from RNAcentral. Lineage: Eukaryota; Viridiplantae; Streptophyta; Magnoliopsida; Malpighiales; Euphorbiaceae.
CGUCGAUAACACUCCAUCCAACGGAUAAUUUGGCGCUCUAGAAUUUGGCAAUUUUGAAAAUUGGAAAUUGAAGAGGUUCGCUCCUAAAUUCCCAAUAUAAACCCUAAACCAGCCGUCUCCCUUCGUCACUGAACUGAAUUGAGAAGGAAAAAUGUCGGGGAGAGGAAAAGGAGGCAAAGGUCUGGGAAAGGGAGGAGCCAAGAGGCACAGGAAGGUCCUGAGGGAUAACAUUCAGGGGAUCACGAAGCCGGCAAUCCGUCGUCUAGCUCGUAGAGGAGGCGUAAAGCGUAUCAGUGGCCUGAUUUAUGAGGAGACCAGAGGCGUACUCAAGAUCUUCCUUGAAAAUGUGAUUCGGGAUGCUGUCACUUACACUGAACAUGCCCGAAGAAAGACCGUAACUGCCAUGGAUGUUGUGUACGCUCUCAAGAGGCAGGGUCGGACGCUCUAUGGCUUUGGUGGCUGAUCC